This 253-nucleotide ribosomal RNA is filed under the name uncultured bacterium. RNAcentral's name for it is "partial 16S ribosomal RNA". It matches the Rfam family "Bacterial small subunit ribosomal RNA", at positions 524 to 776 of the family's 1533-position model. The record is from RNAcentral.
GACAGAGGGUGCAAACGUUGUUCGGAUUUACUGGGCGUAAAGCGCGUGUAGGCGGCUUCGUAAGUUGGAUGUGAAAUCCCACGGCUCAACCGUGGACGUGCAUCCAAAACUACGUCGCUGGAGUCUCGGAGAGGAAGGUGGAAUGCUUGGUGUAGAGGUGAAAUUCGUAGAUAUCAGGAGGAACACCAGUGGCGAAGGCGGCUUCCUGGACACCAACUGACGCUGAGACGCGAAAGCGUGGGGAGCAAACAGG